Molecule: long non-coding RNA, 972 nt
Organism: Manis javanica (Malayan pangolin)
Lineage: Eukaryota; Metazoa; Chordata; Mammalia; Pholidota; Manidae
Source: RefSeq, a predicted model, not a curated record
UAAUUUCAGAAACAAUACCAGCUUCCAGGAAUAAGUAUUUAUGAGGUAAGUAUUUAUGCAUUGUCAAGGAUCUUGUGGAAUGAUUUAAUGGCAUAUAUUCUGUUCAUUCAUUUUAUUGUUUCUGGGCUCUGACCCCAAAUGUGGCCAAAGUGUUUAUGGGAGGUGUCAUGAGAACGAUUCUCCCCAUAGCUAAAAACAUACAUUUGAGGAUUAUCACAGACUCCAAAGUCAUGCUGAGGUAAAGGAAGCCAAUACUCUAUUAUAAUUGUAAAGACAGAUGGAGGCAAUGGGAAGCCUUUGUGCCAGCCAUGUUCUCCUGGCUUUACAGAUGGUGCGAAGAGGUGAAGAACGUGCCACUCCGAGGCCAGACCAUGGAGCCGGAGGCCUGCGCAGCCCCUGACCGGCCUGCGACUCCCUCCUGCCCAGAUCCCUCUGACUGUGAGCCUCACUUGCCAUAUUUGUGGAAGAGACGACAGCAGGACUCCCCAAAGGUUGCUUGAGAACUGGAGCUGAUCUGGAAAAUGUUAACAGUUCCACCUAAUGCAUGGAUCCGUAAAGGCCCAAGAUGGGGAGCAUUAGGACUGACCUUCCUGUGCCUGGCCGCCCAGCUGCCAUCACCCCACCGAUGAGGUGUGCCCCUUGCAAUCGGGCUUCCAUGACCAUGUGCAGACAUGCCUGCAGCAGCAAAGAAUUCCAGUUCCUGACACACACACGUCCAGAGAAGGAGGAACAAGGCACACCUAGCCUUCUCAUGUCAGCUCUCACCCUGCAGGAAACAAUGAGCUGAUAAACGAGGUGGCAAUUCCAUCACAGCGACAUCGCAGGUCAGGAAUCAGCAACCUUUACUCUCUCUGUGUGUGCUGAGCAGCAGCAUCUGGGCAGGCUCUCCCCAAGCACCAGGUGAAACCUCAGCCCAGACCCGUGAGGGUCCUUGACUCUGAACAAGAAAGAAUUCUCAAGCAGGUUGGGCAA